UAGGGAAUCUUCGGCAAUGGACGGAAGUCUGACCGAGCAACGCCGCGUGAGUGAAGAAGGUUUUCGGAUCGUAAAGCUCUGUUGUAAGAGAAGAACGAGUGUGAGAGUGGAAAGUUCACACUGUGACGGUAACUUACCAGAAAGGGACGGCUAACUACGUGCCAGCAGCCGCGGUAAUACGUAGGUCCCGAGCGUUAGUUAUCCGGAUGGUUGGGCGUAAAGCGAGCGCANGCGGUUAUUUAAGACUGAAGAUUUUAGCUGUGUCUUAACCAAACAACGCUUCCGUUUUCUGAUUUUGUGAAUGUGGAAGGGGAGAGGGGAAUUCCAUGUGUUGCGGGGGAAUGCGUUGAUAUAUAAAAGGAAACCGGAGGCGCCGCGGGUCUCUGGUCCGUCUCUGACGCUGAAGCUCGGAAGCGUGAGGAGCAAACAGGAUUAGAUACCCUGGNAGUCCACCCCGUAAGCGAUGAGUGCUAGGUNUUGUGUCCUUUCNGGGACUCAGUGCCGCANUUNACGCAUUCACCGCUGCGGCCUGGCGAGUAGGACCGCAACGUUGA
This 554-nucleotide ribosomal RNA is filed under the name uncultured bacterium. RNAcentral describes it as "bacterial SSU rRNA". It matches the Rfam family "Bacterial small subunit ribosomal RNA", at positions 355 to 897 of the family's 1533-position model. The record is from RNAcentral.